RNAcentral lists this ribosomal RNA (467 nucleotides) under uncultured bacterium. RNAcentral describes it as "partial 16S ribosomal RNA". It matches the Rfam family "Bacterial small subunit ribosomal RNA", at positions 28 to 506 of the family's 1533-position model. The record is from RNAcentral.
GACGAACGCUGGCGGCGUGCUUAACACAUGCAAGUCGAACGGAAAGGCCCUGCUUUUGUGGGGUGCUCGAGUGGCGAACGGGUGAGUAACACGUGAGUAACCUGCCCUUUACUUUGGGAUAACUUCAGGAAGCUGGGGCUAAUACCGGAUAGGAGCUCCUGCUGCAUGGUGGGGGUUGGAAAGUUUCGGCGGUUGGGGAUGGACUCGCGGCUUAUCAGCUUGUUGGUGGGGUAGUGGCUUACCAAGGCUUUGACGGGUAGCCGGCCUGAGAGGGUGACCGGCCACAUUGGGACUGAGAUACGGCCCAGACUCCUACGGGAGGCAGCAGUGGGGAAUAUUGCACAAUGGGCGGAAGCCUGAUGCAGCAACGCCGCGUGCGGGAUGACGGCCUUCGGGUUGUAAACCGCUUUCGCCUGUGACGAAGCGUGAGUGACGGUAAUGGGUAAAGAAGCACCGGCUAACUACGU